Molecule: ribosomal RNA, 250 nt
Filed under: uncultured bacterium
Lineage: Bacteria
Description: partial 16S ribosomal RNA
Rfam family: Bacterial small subunit ribosomal RNA
Source: RNAcentral
ACGUAGGUGGCAAGCGUUAUCCGGAAUGAUUGGGCGUAAAGGGUGCGUAGGUGGUGCGAUAAGUCUGAAGUAAAAGGCAACAGCUCAACUGUUGUUCGCUUCGGAAACUGUCGUACUAGAGUGCAGGAGAGGGCGAUGGAAUUCCAUGUGUAGCGGUAAAAUGCGUAGAUAUAUGGAGGAACACCAGUGGCGAAGGCGGUCGCCUGGCCUGCAACUGACACUGAUGCACGAAAGCGUGGGGAGCAAAUAG